GGAAUGUUGCGUGCGGGGACGUACUUCCCACCCCACCCGACCUCCCCUCUCGCCAUAUUGGGCUCCGGUGCCGCUCGAAGCCCGUGAGGGGUGAAGCCGGUUCCUGCCCGGCACCCUGAGGCGAUGGCGGGGGAUGCAUGGGCUUGAUACUGUACCUUCAAGCUGUGCUAAGACCAGACCACUGCCCUGGCAACACAUCUGCACUGGGAUGUGAGCAGCAGCUGUGAGCAAUGAGCAGUAGUACAGGUGAUGGCUUUCAACAGAGGAACAACUGAUCUCUAAGGUCAGGUUACAUGGUACAGGUGAGAACAGGAUCCUACUUAUUGUGGGGCUGUGAGGGGCAGAGGCUGGAUGUCAGAGUGGUGGGCAAGGGAGUGACCAAGGAAUACCAGCUGCUGAUUUGUAUAGGUGGACGGUAAGGCUGCACUCAGUUUCACCUCCCAAUUACCUCCAGGCACUAAUUAACCCAUGCUUCAUUGAACAGGCUAUUUUUAGAGAGGUGUUUGGUGAAGAGCCCCUGGGACAUGUCCCAUUUCAAUUGUCAGCAGCAGCAGCAGCCCUGAAGUGCUGAUGAAGAUGCCCUGGUGCUGGAAUCUUCACUGCCUGUUGUAAGGAGCAAGAGCACAUCGAGGAGACAAGCAUCCUACCUUGCUUUAUGUUCAAAUAUGUUGGGAAAAGUGGCACAGAAGCUACUGCUUAGAGCUUUGAUUCACUAAACCUAAUUAAGACCUAUGCAGAGGGGAAUUUGGCAGUGGUAUUUUAUGGAGAACUAGGUAUUGCUUCCUUGCCAUGUGUAGUUACCCAGCAGGUAUGAGGAAGGUAGUUUAUUGCUUACCUGCUGGGGGUACAAGGAAUGAGAGCUGACUCUCUAGACUGAUGCUAUCAGGAGCAAACACAUAAACGGAGAAAAACAGUGGAUGAGGAGCAGCUCGAGUGAAACUAGACACAGGAACAGGAGAAGAAACAGCCUGCCGGUAACCCAAAACACAACUAAGAUGACAGUGCAACAAGGGUGGACUGUAAGUAGGGUUGGACUCCCAGGUACUGCAGAGGAGAAAAGGAGGUCAUAGAUACUUCGAUAUACAUUUUAUCUUCCUUUUUUUAAUCUGAUAGCUUCAUAUGUUUAUUUCAGCUUUAAUAAAAAGGGGCUUACACAGUUCUCACAAAGCUACCCUUCCUCAAAAGGGGAAGGUGAUAGGGGGAAUUAUUUCAGAUCUGUUGCAAGGGAGGAGGGAGAAAAUUAAUUUAGAUUUGCUACAAGAGCCACGGCAGGAACCAAAGGCAGAGAUAGUCUGGCAUGGGAGGGCUGUAAGGUUUGUCCUGAUAACUAGAGGACUGGAGUAAGCACUGAGUGGUGCCCUUCCACAAGGACUUUACUAGGGCUGUGUGAUUAUCAUGCUCCCUGGAACUGCAGCAUGCAUGCAUUUCCCUGCAAAAGUGCAUCCCUCUCUGUCAGCAAAAGGGAUGCUGAAGCUCUCAGCCAAGUGCUGAAUUUCUGGCAGUACAGAGCAAUUCAGCUUCCAGCUGCUGCUGCACAGAGAAUUAAUCAAUGCGGAAGAACCAGAGCAGAGCAAGCCCCACAGCUCCCAAGGGGGUGGUUGGUUGUCACCCUGGUCAUCUGUCCCCAGCUGACAUGACACACAAGCUGCAGAGGGGAAGCAUGAAGCAUUUGCUUACUGCUCUCUCCCAUGCUUUGAGUGAAAACACAGGGUGCAGCUUCAUCCCUCUGAUUUAGCUAGGUGUGGGAGGGGAGUACAGCCCUUCUCUUGCAGUGUCUGUAGAGCAGCAGUGAUGGUGUUUGGCACAGAAUGACAUUUCUUCUUGGCUGGACUUAAUUCUAGUGACAAUUGUCUCUUUCUCCUUUCCUUUCCCUCUGCCUGUGCUUGGAAAAUUUGCACCAAGAGAAACAAACCCAUUCUAGGCUGCCAGGGCAAGAAGCGCAAAUUAGAAACCAACCUCCCGUGGCGUUAUAAAGAGGGAAAUACCAGAGUUGUGCAGCAUUACAAACUAACACUUCCAUUUUGCCAAGCUGGAAAGUAAUGGAAAUUCUGGAAGCUUAAAGUGGUUCAUUUGGUCCAAAAAUGUGAGAGACUACCAGCUCAAAAUGAUUCUCCCAAAUUGCUCUGAGUAGUGUUCUUUAGCCAAAAUAAGUUUCUCAAGGUGCAAGUGGCUGUGGGUAGGAAAAGAGAGAACAUGUCUACUACAUAUGUGUUUGUUAGCAGACAAGCUUCUUGCUUUUGAAAGGGGAAGAAAUUAUGAACUCAGGGAUAAGCAAACAGUGGAAAGUAGGUCUGUGAAAAUGUGCAAGUCCCAUCCGGGGACAUUUUUGUUUUAACUGAAGCAGAUGUCCAGCCUGCUGACAGUAGCUGGCACUAUCUUUCAUUGCGCCUUGGCUCUAGUCCUAAUGCCACUACAGCUGCAUCCUCCCCCACUAAUAUAAUAAAGGGGCCAAAAAGUGCUGUUCUGACAUGCUCUCUGCCUCGUGCACAGAUAACUUGUGGGUACAUCAAGACAGGAAACUAUUUUUUUCCAGUCUGAGCUUAAGUAUGAACUACUAUGAGGAGUGGUUCCUCUCCCCCAGUCAUCCAGAACUAUAGCGAGAAGAGAUAGAAGGUGAAAGCAAAAUACCAGCUCACAGCUUUCCAUUAUCAGACCAGUACAAGUUAGAGCAGCAAGGGAAGGCUCCAUCUGCACUACGCACCUGUGAGUUACUGCAGGGCAAGUAAGCCUAGGCUGGGCUGCUCUGCUUCCCCAUCCUUGCUGGAGCUUUCCUGCAUCAGUAUGCUGGAGAGAAAUGUGUCAACUCUGUUACUGUGUACAUUCCCUCGUUUCUCCCCUUGUUUAAGGGAAACGCUGGAGAAAAGUUUGCCAGAGACUCUCAAGGCUCCAGGAGACCUUUCAGAAAUAAGGUCUAGACUCGGCUUGAAAAGCCAGACAGUGCACAGCAGCCUGUGUGUCUGGGGGGGCAGGAUGCCAUUCCUGCUCAGACCAAGGGGGCAACAGACCCACAGCUGGGAGACAUGAGAGCAAGCUGCACGAGGGCAAGCUGAGGUGAACUGGCCUCUUCAGCAGAAAUAUCCACAGAAGACCAUGCACAAACACACUGUCCCUGCAGUCAGAACUACUGUCCCACAGAGCAACACAGGCAGAAGGGUGAUAAGAACAAGAGGUGUUGUGGAAGCAUGGGACAGAUGUAUUUCUGACGUACACAGGAGAAGAGACAGUGAGGUGAUGUAGCAGCUUGGACCAAGUGGAAAGAGUGUGAUCAAUCUGGAACAUGAGAAGGAAGAGAAUGUAGUUAAUCAUCAUGCUGGUCCUGAAAAUCUCCAGAGAAAUCUAAGUUCUGUACCUUUUGGGCUAUGGAAAAGGGGCCCAAGACAGGCCACAUAUGACAAAACAUUUGAAGUAGGACAGCAGAAAA
Molecule: long non-coding RNA, 3421 nt
Organism: Columba livia (rock pigeon)
Lineage: Eukaryota; Metazoa; Chordata; Aves; Columbiformes; Columbidae
Exons: 2
Source: RefSeq, a predicted model, not a curated record